Molecule: RNase P RNA, 326 nt
Filed under: Desulfofarcimen acetoxidans DSM 771
Lineage: Bacteria; Bacillati; Bacillota; Clostridia; Eubacteriales; Peptococcaceae
Description: Desulfotomaculum acetoxidans DSM 771 Bacterial RNase P class B
Rfam family: Bacterial RNase P class B
About the family: Ribonuclease P (RNase P) is a ubiquitous endoribonuclease, found in archaea, bacteria and eukarya as well as chloroplasts and mitochondria.
Source: Rfam by way of RNAcentral
UACAGUGGAUAGUCGCUGCUUUUCCAGGAAAAGUAGAGGAAAGUCGAGACACGCACACUGCUGUAAAAGGCAGUGUAGUUUGGUGCCUGGUGUAAGCCAGGGCAGGGUGACCUGACGACGGCGAAAAUAACUCGCUGGAGUUAGUAGUAGCCAUAAAGUGCCACAGAAACUAUUUCACCGGGUGACCGGUGAGUGCAAGGGUAAACUCCACCGGCGUGCAACCCAAAUAGGCAGUUUUACUGCGGGUAGGGGCACCCCUUAAUCGGGGAAGAAAGCGCAAGCUUUCUUAGAUAGAUGACUAUCAUAACAGAAUCUCGCUUACAACU